This 310-nucleotide unclassified non-coding RNA is filed under the name plant metagenome. Its description in RNAcentral is "partial contains 5.8S ribosomal RNA, internal transcribed spacer 2, and large subunit ribosomal RNA". The stretch from base 1 to 106 matches the Rfam family "5.8S ribosomal RNA", at positions 49 to 154 of the family's 154-position model. The record is from RNAcentral.
CGAAAUGCGAUAAGUAAUGUGAAUUGCAGAAUUCCGUGAAUCAUCGAAUCUUUGAACGCACAUUGCGCCCGCCAGUAUUCUGGCGGGCAUGCCUGUUCGAGCGUCAUUUCAACCAUCAAGCCCCCGGGCUUGUGUUGGGGACCUGCGGCUGCCGCAGGCCCCGAAAACCAGUGGCGGGCUCGCUGUCACACCGGGCGUAGUAGAUUUUUCGUCUCGCCCAGGGCGUGCUGCGGGUUCCGGCCGUUAAAAAGCCUCUCUUUUAACCCAAGGUUGACCUCGGAUCAGGUAGGAAGACCCGCUGAACUUAAGC